Molecule: ribosomal RNA, 253 nt
Filed under: uncultured bacterium
Lineage: Bacteria
Description: partial 16S ribosomal RNA
Rfam family: Bacterial small subunit ribosomal RNA
Source: RNAcentral
UACGUAGGGUGCGAGCGUUGUCCGGAAUUAUUGGGCGUAAAGGGCUCGUAGGCGGUUUGUCGCGUCGAAUGUGAAAACCCGGGGCUCAACCCCGGGCCUGCAUUCGAUACGGGCAGACUAGAGUUCGGUAGGGGAGUCUGGAAUUCCUGGUGUAGCGGUGAAAUGCGCAGAUAUCAGGAGGAACACCGGUGGCGAAGGCGGGUCUCUGGGCCGUAACUGACGCUGAGGAGCGAAAGCGUGGGGAGCGAACAGG